RNAcentral lists this ribosomal RNA (336 nucleotides) under Triticum aestivum (bread wheat). RNAcentral describes it as "partial small subunit ribosomal RNA". The record is from RNAcentral. Lineage: Eukaryota; Viridiplantae; Streptophyta; Magnoliopsida; Poales; Poaceae.
AUGAUGUACGCCACUGGCCGCCUGGAUGUCUCCCGCGGACUCCCGCUGCUCUACUCUAUGGCGCAGUGCAACCUGGACCUACCACCGAAUGACUGCUGGGAUUGCCUCGACAAUAUCAGGAGCGCAGCAAGGGGUUCCUUCCACGAGCAACAUGGUGAAUGGAUUGCUGGUGUGUGGUGUAAUUUCAGGUACAGCACGUAUCAGUUCUACAAUGGCCAGCCCACGAAGCAGAUUCUCUGGUCGGAUGCUCUAGAUCCCACACCAAACAUGCCGGCGCCAGGGCCAGUUGGUGUUCCAAGGCAGAAAGAUAAGAGUAAGACAAUAUCAUCCUUAUAG